CGUGGUCGGAUUUUGGCUGAGACGGUCGGUCCGCCGUUAGGUGUGCACUGACUGGUCUCAGCUUCCUGGUGGGGAGGUGUGCUUCAUCGCCACUUAGUCACCGUGGUUACUUUGAAAAAAUUAGAGUGUUCAAAGCGGGCUUACGCUUGAAUAUAUUAGCAUGGAAUAACACCAUAGGACUCCUGUCCUAUUUCGUUGGUCUCGGGACGGGAGUAAUGAUUAAGAGGAACAGUUGGGGGCAUUCGUAUUUCAUUAUCAGAGGUGAAAUUCUUGGAUUUAUGAAAGACGAACUUCUGCGAAAGCAUUUGCCAAGGAUGUUUUCAUUGAUCAAGAACGAAAGUUGGGGGCUCGAAGAUGAUUAGAUACCAUCCUAGUCUCNACCAUAAACGAUGCCCACUAGGGGAUUGGCGGAUGUUAAUUGAUGACUUCCCCAGCACCUUAUGAAAAAUCAAAGUUUUUGGGUUCCGGGGGGA
RNAcentral lists this ribosomal RNA (473 nucleotides) under Ostreococcus sp. RCC468. RNAcentral describes it as "SSU rRNA". It matches the Rfam family "Eukaryotic small subunit ribosomal RNA", at positions 629 to 1122 of the family's 1831-position model. Lineage: Eukaryota; Viridiplantae; Chlorophyta; Mamiellophyceae; Mamiellales; Bathycoccaceae. The record is from RNAcentral.